This 497-nucleotide ribosomal RNA is filed under the name uncultured bacterium. Its description in RNAcentral is "partial 16S ribosomal RNA". It matches the Rfam family "Bacterial small subunit ribosomal RNA", at positions 28 to 507 of the family's 1533-position model. The record is from RNAcentral.
GAUGAACGCUGGCGGCGUGCCUAAUACAUGCAAGUCGAGCGAACGGACGAGAAGCUUGCUUCUCUGAUGUUAGCGGCGGACGGUUGAGUAACACGUGGAUAACCUACCUUUAAGACUGGGAUAACUUCGGGAAACCGGAGCUAAUGCCGGGUGAUAUCUUGCACCGCAUGGUUCAAUAGUUAAAGACGGUCUUGCUGUCUCUUAUAGAUGGAUCCGCGCUGCAUUAGCUAGUUGGUAAGGUAACGGCUUACCAAGGCAACGAUGCAUAGCCGACCUGAGAGGGUGAUCGGCCACACUGGACCUGAGACACGGUCCAGACUCCUACGGGAGGCAGCAGUAGGGAAUCUUCCGCAAUGGGCGGAAGCCUGACGGAGCAACGCCGCGUGAGUGAUGAAGGUCUUCGGAUCGUAAAACUCUGUUAUUAGGGAAGAACAUAUGUGUAAGUAACUGUGCACAUCUUGACGGUACCUAAUCAGAAAGCCACGGCUAACUACGUG